RNAcentral lists this ribosomal RNA (434 nucleotides) under Bacillus pumilus. RNAcentral describes it as "bacterial SSU rRNA". It matches the Rfam family "Bacterial small subunit ribosomal RNA", at positions 49 to 473 of the family's 1533-position model. Lineage: Bacteria; Bacillati; Bacillota; Bacilli; Caryophanales; Bacillaceae. The record is from RNAcentral.
UAAUACAUGCAAGUCGAGCGAACAGAAGGGAGCUUGCUCCCGGAUGUUAGCGGCGGACGGGUGAGUAACACGUGGGUAACCUGCCUGUAAGACUGGGAUAACUCCGGGAAACCGGAGCUAAUACCGGAUAGUUCCUUGAACCGCAUGGUUCAAGGAUGAAAGACGGUUUCGGCUGUCACUUACAGAUGGACCCGCGGCGCAUUAGCUAGUUGGUGGGGUAAUGGCUCACCAAGGCGACGAUGCGUAGCCGACCUGAGAGGGUGAUCGGCCACACUGGGACUGAGACACGGCCCAGACUCCUACGGGAGGCAGCAGUAGGGAAUCUUCCGCAAUGGACGAAAGUCUGACGGAGCAACGCCGCGUGAGUGAUGAAGGUUUUCGGAUCGUAAAGCUCUGUUGUUAGGGAAGAACAAGUGCGAGAGAACUGCUCGCAC